RNAcentral lists this ribosomal RNA (301 nucleotides) under uncultured bacterium. RNAcentral describes it as "partial 16S ribosomal RNA". It matches the Rfam family "Bacterial small subunit ribosomal RNA", at positions 509 to 807 of the family's 1533-position model. The record is from RNAcentral.
CAGUCGCCACGGUAAUACGAGGGGGGCAAGCGUUGUUCGGAAUUAUUGGGCGUAAAGGGCGCGUAGGCGGUUUGGCAAGUUUGGUGUGAAAUCUUCGGGCUCAACUCGAAGUCUGCAUCGAAAACUGCCGGGCUUGAGUAUGGGAGAGGUGAGUGGAAUUUCCGGUGUAGCGGUGAAAUGCGUAGAUAUCGGAAGGAACACCUGUGGCGAAAGCGGCUCACUGGACCAUUACUGACGCUGAGGCGCGAAAGCUAGGGGAGCAAACAGGAUUAGAUACCCCAGUAGUCCCUGUCUCUUAUAC